Molecule: ribosomal RNA, 419 nt
Filed under: uncultured bacterium
Lineage: Bacteria
Description: bacterial SSU rRNA
Rfam family: Bacterial small subunit ribosomal RNA
Source: RNAcentral
ACAGUGGCGCACGGGUGAGUAACGCGUGGAUAAUCUACCCAUUGGUUCGGAAUAACAGUUGGAAACGACUGAUAAUACUGGAUAAUAUGGCAACGUUAAAGGUGGCCUCUGCUUGCAAGCUACUGCCAAUGGAUGAGUCCGCGUCUCAUUAGCUAGACGGUAGGGUAACGGCCUACCGUGGCAACGAUGAGUAGCAGGCCUGAGAGGGUGGCCUGCCACACUGGGACUGGAACACGGCCCAGACUCCUACGGGAGGCAGCAGUGGGGAAUAUUGCGCAAUGGGGGAAACCCUGACGCAGCGACGCCGCGUGGAGGAUGAAGGUUUUCGGAUCGUAAACUCCUGUCAGAAGGGAAGAAACCUGCAAAAAGUAAUAUGUUUUGCAGCUGACGGUACCUUCAGAGGAAGCACCGGCUAAUUC